UGGUGGACAGUGUAUGUGGGUUUGAUCCUCCUCCCUUCCUGAACCUUGUGAGAAAUUAUCUUGAGAUAGCUGUGUGACCCAAUCAAGGACUCUGAUGUUAAGAUGAAGAGAUAGAGAAAUCCUAUGAAGAAAUUGAUUAGAUGCUCCAAACCAAAUCAAUAUAUACAUUGAUAGCCAUUUACUUAAAUGUGAAAGUGACAUGAGAGGAUGGUCAUCUUGGAAAUUGUGAUCUGAGGCAUCUUCCACUA
This 248-nucleotide long non-coding RNA is filed under the name Monodelphis domestica (gray short-tailed opossum). Its description in RNAcentral is "lncRNA (ENSMODG00000042865.1)". The record is from RNAcentral. Lineage: Eukaryota; Metazoa; Chordata; Mammalia; Didelphimorphia; Didelphidae.